RNAcentral lists this ribosomal RNA (478 nucleotides) under uncultured bacterium. RNAcentral's name for it is "partial 16S ribosomal RNA". It matches the Rfam family "Bacterial small subunit ribosomal RNA", at positions 28 to 523 of the family's 1533-position model. The record is from RNAcentral.
GACGAACGCUGGCGGCAUGCCUAACACAUGCAAGUCGAGCGAGUAGAUCCCUUCGGGGUGAAGCUAGCGGCGGACGGGUGAGUAACACGUGGGCAACCUGCCUCAUAGAGGGGAAUAACCUUCCGAAAGGAAGAUUAAUACCGCAUAAGAUUGUAGCUUCGCAUGAAGUAGCAAUUAAAGGAGCAAUCCGCUAUGAGAUGGGCCCGCGGCGCAUUAGCUAGUUGGUGAGGUAACGGCUCACCAAGGCGACGAUGCGUAGCCGACCUGAGAGGGUGAUCGGCCACAUUGGGACUGAGACACGGCCCAGACUCCUACGGGAGGCAGCAGUGGGGAAUAUUGCACAAUGGGGGAAACCCUGAUGCAGCAACGCCGCGUGAGUGAUGACGGCCUUCGGGUUGUAAAGCUCUGUCUUCAGGGACGAUAAUGACGGUACCUGAGGAGGAAGCCACGGCUAACUACGUGCCAGCAGCCGCGGUAA